Molecule: ribosomal RNA, 571 nt
Filed under: uncultured Rheinheimera sp.
Lineage: Bacteria; Pseudomonadati; Pseudomonadota; Gammaproteobacteria; Chromatiales; Chromatiaceae
Description: bacterial SSU rRNA
Rfam family: Bacterial small subunit ribosomal RNA
Source: RNAcentral
CUGGGAAUUGCAUUUGAAACUGGAAAACUAGAGUGUGUGAGAGGGGGGUAGAAUUCCAAGUGUAGCGGUGAAAUGCGUAGAGAUUUGGAGGAAUACCAGUGGCGAAGGCGGCCCCCUGGCACAACACUGACGCUCAGGUGCGAAAGCGUGGGGAGCAAACAGGAUUAGAUACCCUGGUAGUCCACGCCGUAAACGAUGUCUACUAGCUGUUCGUGGUCUUGUACUGUGAGUAGCGCAGCUAACGCACUAAGUAGACCGCCUGGGGAGUACGGUCGCAAGAUUAAAACUCAAAUGAAUUGACGGGGGCCCGCACAAGCGGUGGAGCAUGUGGUUUAAUUCGACGCAACGCGAAGAACCUUACCUACUCUUGACAUCUAGCGAAGAUUGUAGAGAUACGAUUGUGCCUUCGGGAACGCUAAGACAGGUGCUGCAUGGCUGUCGUCAGCUCGUGUUGUGAAAUGUUGGGUUAAGUCCCGCAACGAGCGCAACCCUUAUCCUUAGUUGCCAGCACGUAAUGGUGGGAACUCUAGGGAGACUGCCGGUGAUAAACCGGAGGAAGGUGGGGACGACG